Molecule: long non-coding RNA, 283 nt
Organism: Ochotona curzoniae (black-lipped pika)
Lineage: Eukaryota; Metazoa; Chordata; Mammalia; Lagomorpha; Ochotonidae
Exons: 3
Source: RefSeq, a predicted model, not a curated record
CAGCCAGGAGCUGGAUGGGAAGGGGAGCAGCUUGGCACAAAUUACAGGAUGCCUACACUGCAGGUGGUAUCAGCCUCAGGGCCAACCCCACCUCAGGGCUAAAAGCUGCAUAGAAGAAUGGUGAGACACAAUCAUCUUCAUCUGUGCUUGAGUUUCUUCCUGAUGACUGUUUGGAGUUUCCCUAUGAGCUGGUCUGAGCUUGAAUUUUCAAGUGGACAGCCUCUGAAGAGGAGAUGGUCUCUGGAGCAUACUGGGUCUGCUUCCUCUGCAACCUAGUAAUGGC